CAAAAUGAACCUAAAAGAGCAAGGACCCGGCCCUAUGGGGCCACCACCUUCCCCCUCGUGCUCCUGCGCCCCCAGCCCCUGCUUUUGGGGUCCCGUGGGGGGGUCUUGUGGCAGCUGCUGAGCCAAUUGAGGUGUUUUUUUUGGGGGGGACGCUGCUGGGCAGCUCCUUUUGGGGUUUGGGUCGUGAUUUGAGCCUGGGGGGUGUUUUGGGGAGGACCCUGAGCAGCAGCUCCCCUGUGGGGUCGUCCACUGGGGGCAGCAGCCUCGGGAGACCCCAAACCCUGGGGUGGGUUUGAGGACGGCCCCCUUGUGCCUUUGGGGUUUAGCAUCUUUUGGGGUUUUUGGGGUUUAGCUUCUUCUGGGGUUUAGCGUCUUUUAGGGUUUUGGGGUUUUUCUUUGGGGUUUUGCUUCUUUUGGGGCUUUGCUUCUUUCUUUUGGGGUUUGGGGCUUUGCUUCUUUCUUGGGGCUUUUCUUCUUUUUGGGGGGCUUUUCUUCUUUUUUGGGGUUUUAUCUUUUGGGAGUUUUCCUUUUUGGGGCUUUUUCUUUCUUCCUUUCCGCGUGCCCUUGGCCGCUCACCCCCGCGGGGCCGCAUCCCCCUGCUCCCCGGGCGCUUUAUCCUCGAGCAGCCCCUGUUCCCCCCCCCCCCAAUUGCACUCUCCCCCAGGGACAUGGCUUUGGGGAAUUUUUCCCUGGUGUGGGGGCUCCCUGCGACCCCAGAAAGCCCCUGAUCUGUCCGUCCAUCUGUCUGUCUCGGUGCCACGCGGGGCUGAGUCAGGAGCCUCGGAACCCGUCGGGAACCUCAUUCCUUCGGCCAGGAGCCUCGUUACGUGUCGGGGCCUCAUUAUCUGAGUCAGGACGUGGUUCCCUGCCUCUUGGGGUCCCGUUCCCCGUCGGGGUCCCGUUCCCCAUUGGGGUCCCGUUCCCAUCAGGGUCCCAUUCCCUGUUCCCAUCGGGGUCCUGUUCCCUGUCGGGGUCCUGUUCCUAUCGGGGUCCCAUUCCCUGUUCCUAUUGGGGUCCCAUUCCUGUUGGGGUCCCAUUCCCUGUUCCUAUCAGGGUCCUGUUCCCCAUUGGGGUUCCGUUCCUAUUGGGGUCCUGUUCCCUGUUCCUAUCGGGGUCCUGUUCCUAUUUUGGGGUCCCGCUCCCCGCCGUGCCCCCCAGCAGCAGCCCCGCUGCCGACCUCCAGCCCCGGGCGCUGUGGCCGGGCCCUCCCGCGGCAGGACCCGGGGAGGUGCUGCUGGGGGAGGGAGAACGGGGAAGAAACGGGGAGGAGGAGCACGGGGAAGGGGCACAGACGGAAGGAUUUGGGGAAAAAGCACGGGGAAGGAGCCGAGCAGGGAGAAGGAGCACACGGGGAAGGAGCAGGGAGAAGGAACAAGGAGAAGGAGCCAGGAGGAGCACACAGGGAGAAGGAGCACACAAGAAGGAGCCGAGGAAGAAGCAGGGAA
Molecule: long non-coding RNA, 1445 nt
Filed under: Anas platyrhynchos platyrhynchos (common mallard)
Lineage: Eukaryota; Metazoa; Chordata; Aves; Anseriformes; Anatidae
Description: lncRNA (ENSAPLG00000021277.1)
Source: RNAcentral